Molecule: ribosomal RNA, 433 nt
Filed under: uncultured bacterium
Lineage: Bacteria
Description: partial 16S ribosomal RNA
Rfam family: Bacterial small subunit ribosomal RNA
Source: RNAcentral
AACGAACGCUGGCGGCAUGCCUAACACAUGCAAGUCGAACGAGACCUUCGGGUCUAGUGGCGCACGGGUGCGUAACGCGUGGGAACCUGCCCUUAGGUUCGGAAUAACUCCCCGAAAGGGGUGCUAAUACCGGAUAAUGUCUUCGGACCAAAGAUUUAUCGCCGUUGGAUGGGCCCGCGUUGGAUUAGCUAGUUGGUAGGGUAAAAGCCUACCAAGGCGACGAUCCAUAGCUGGUCUGAGAGGAUGAUCAGCCACGCUGGGACUGAGACACGGCCCAGACUCCUACGGGAGGCAGCAGUGGGGAAUAUUGGACGAUGGGCGAAAGCCUGAUCCAGCAAUGCCGGGUGAGUGAUGAAGGCCUUAGGGUUGUAAAGCUCUUUUACCCGGGAUGAUAAUGACAGUACCGGGAGAAGAAGCUCCGGCUAACUCCGUG